GACAGAGGUUGCAAACGUUGUUCGGAAUCACUGGGCAUAAAGCGCACGUAGGCGGUCUGUUAAGUCAGAUGUGAAAGCCCCCGGCUCAACCGGGGAACUGCAUUUGAUACUGGCAGGCUCGAGAACGGUAGGGGUGAGUGGAACUCCAGGUGGAGCGGUGAAAUGCGUAGAUAUCUGGAGGAACACCGGUGGCGAAAGCGGCUCACUGGACCGUCACUGACGCUGAGGUGCGAAAGCUAGGGUAGCAAACGGGAUUAGAUACCCCGGUAGUCCUAGCCGUAAACGAUGGGUACUGGGUAGGGGGGAUGCCUAUGGUCCUCUCUGCCGGAGCUAAUGUGUUAAGUACCCCGCCUGGGGAGUACGCUCGCAAGGGUAAA
Molecule: ribosomal RNA, 377 nt
Filed under: uncultured bacterium
Lineage: Bacteria
Description: bacterial SSU rRNA
Rfam family: Bacterial small subunit ribosomal RNA
Source: RNAcentral